UGGCUUAGACGGUAAAGAAUCUGCCUGCAAUGCAGGAGACCGGGGUUCGAUCCCUG
This 56-nucleotide transfer RNA is filed under the name Bos taurus (domestic cattle). It matches the Rfam family "tRNA", at positions 8 to 63 of the family's 71-position model. Rfam says of the family: Transfer RNA (tRNA) molecules are approximately 80 nucleotides in length. Their secondary structure includes four short double-helical elements and three loops (D, anti-codon, and T loops). RNAcentral also lists the same sequence under 2 other names. The record is from Rfam by way of RNAcentral. Lineage: Eukaryota; Metazoa; Chordata; Mammalia; Artiodactyla; Bovidae.